AAAUGCGAUAAGUAAUGUGAAUUGCAGAAUUCAGUGAAUCAUCGAAUCUUUGAACGCACAUUGCGCCCGCCAGUAUUCUGGCGGGCAUGCCUGUCCGAGCGUCAUUUCAACCAUCAAGCCCCCGGGCUUGUGUUGGGGACCUGCGACUGCCCGCAGGCCCUGAAAACCAGUGGCGGGCUCGCUGUCACACCGAGCGUAGUAGCAAUCACCUCGCUCAGGGCGUGCUGCGGGUUCCGGCCGUUAAACAGCCUUACAAAACCCAAGGUUGACCUCGGAUCAGGUAGGAAGACCCGCUGAACUUAAGC
RNAcentral lists this unclassified non-coding RNA (305 nucleotides) under plant metagenome. Its description in RNAcentral is "partial contains 5.8S ribosomal RNA, internal transcribed spacer 2, and large subunit ribosomal RNA". The stretch from base 1 to 104 matches the Rfam family "5.8S ribosomal RNA", at positions 51 to 154 of the family's 154-position model. The record is from RNAcentral.